UCCGCUGCAAUUCUUCUUUUAUUGUUUCUUUUUAUUUUUAUUAUUUUAAAAUUUGAUAGUUUGCUUUCUAACUUAUGCGUCUAGUACUCUUACUUCCUGGUAAAUUUUAUUAUUUAAUUCUAUUAUAACUUUUUAGUCUUUAUUGAUGUCAAAUGUGUUGCUGCUGCUUAAGUGUUAUUUUUACUGAGUUUGCUGCUCAAAUUUUGUUAUCACUUUAUCAGAAUGAUGUUAGGUGAAUUUCAUGUUGCUCAGUUUGGACUUUGGAAAUGAAAGCUUAACUUAGAUUGGUGCCGAUGAGUUUUUGCAAAUCAAGGAAAAAGGCUCACAUAUGAAUUGAAUUCAUUUCCAUGUGCCGAUGAGUUUGAAUGGAUGGCAAUUUCUUAAUAUACUUCUCCGGCAAAGAAAUGAAAUAGGGAAGAAUUGCAUUAACGAAAUGAAAAGUAGUAUUAUCUUUUAAUUUCCAUUUGUUGUGAUUGAUUAUCGGUUUACUAAUAGGAUUUAAUUUUAUGUAAAGUGUUAAAACUUGUAUAUAGAUAUCACAUUAUAUAUUGUUACAUCAGUAUUAUUUUUCAUACCCACUACAUGAAUGCUCAUCUUUGUGAGUGAAUCAUUUUGAUUGCAUGAACCUUUUACAUUGUCUGUGCAUUAGAUAUCACAUUAUAUAUUGUCUGUGCAUUAGAAUCAACCUCAUUUUUUUUUCUUGAAAGAAAGAUUAUAUGUAAUGUCUAUUAACUGUUGCCUACGCUAUUUCUGAGUUUGGAUUGGAUUUCAAUAUUGUAUAUUUCAGUGCAUAUUAGGGGGGGAAAAAAGGUACAACAAAGAAGCAAAAAGAACCGUUGUUCCAAUGCUAUUUAACUGCUAUCAUUGCUGUGUAGUUUGAGUUAUUACAGGAUUUUGGUGUUCUCAUGAUCCCAACAGUACCAGGGUCUCCACCAAAGCUACAAACAGAUCCAUCUGAAUUAGAAGUUUUUCGAGCAAGGGCAUUUAGCUUGCUGUUCAUUGCUGGAGUCUCUGGAUUUUGCCAGGUUUGAAAUUGAUUGCGUAGCUUCCAUUCUAUUUUCAAGCUUUGUAAUUGUGUGAGGAGCGUCCAACGAGUUAAGGUACUUUAUUUUUAUUUACUUAAUUGUUUAUCAAUUAAUGUUUUAUUGUAGUUAAAAUGUGAUUUGUUCAUGCAUUUAGUUAAGAUGCACUAUUACAAUGGGACAGGUUAUGAAUAUGAGUCAGAGUCGCAAUUGGAUGUACAAUAGACUAAGACUUGGUCGAAAGGGUUUAACUAGUGAAUUUACAAAAGGGGUAGAAGAAUUUAUUUCCUUUGCUGAGAGAUCAGCAGAUUUGUCAAG
Molecule: long non-coding RNA, 1340 nt
Organism: Arachis duranensis
Lineage: Eukaryota; Viridiplantae; Streptophyta; Magnoliopsida; Fabales; Fabaceae
Exons: 3
Source: RefSeq, a predicted model, not a curated record